AUGAUGGUAGGAGUGGAUGGGGGGAUGUCGUCUGACCCCACUGCCUCGACAUCGAACCCGUUUGUAACGAUUGAAGGUACAAACAUUGUUUUGGAGAAGCCGCCGACAAUUAAUCUCCAAUCAGAGGAAACACUGUCGGCCUGUGACUCCAGGGCGACUAUGGAGAGGGAAAUGGCAUUGGAUGAGCCAUCCACCUCAACCUCAACCUCCUCAAGGCCUUCUCGAGGGACAGACAAGGUUUUUAUUUAGGUUAUUCCUUUUGUAAGGUGCGCCACAAGGCUUUGACCAUGGUAACUGAAUUACGAUUGUAACCCAUAAUGCCUUUAGAUUGGAACAGACACUAUAAGGGCGCUGUACAAGCGCAACUUGGAGCUGGACAACGACAUCAAAGUCUUGGUGAAAAAAAAAUUGAAGAUC
RNAcentral lists this long non-coding RNA (417 nucleotides) under Gadus morhua (Atlantic cod). RNAcentral's name for it is "lncRNA (ENSGMOG00000029020.1)". The record is from RNAcentral. Lineage: Eukaryota; Metazoa; Chordata; Actinopteri; Gadiformes; Gadidae.